Molecule: ribosomal RNA, 442 nt
Filed under: uncultured bacterium
Lineage: Bacteria
Description: partial 16S ribosomal RNA
Rfam family: Bacterial small subunit ribosomal RNA
Source: RNAcentral
CCUACGGGAGGCAGCAGUGGGGAAUAUUGGUCAAUGGGCGCAAGCCUGACCCAGCAACGCCGCGUGAAGGAAGACGGCUUUCGGGUUUUUAACUUCUUUUUCGGGGGAAGAGCAGAAGACGGUACCCCUUGAAUAAGCCACGGCUAACUACGUGCCAGCAGCCGCGGUAAUACGGAGGGGGCAAGCGUUGUCCGGAUUUACUAGGUGUAAAGGGCGUGCAUCCGGAGAGACAAGUCAGAUGUGAAAUCCACGGGCUCAAACCGUGAACAGCAUUUGAAACUGUUUCCCUUGAGUGUAGGAGAGGUAAUCGGAAUUCCUUGUGUAGCGGUGAAAUGCGUAGAUAUAAGGAAGAACACCAGUGGCGAAGGCGGAUUACUGGACGAUAACUGACGGUGAGGCGCGAAAGCGUGGGGAGCAAACAGGAUUAGAUACCCCAGUAGUC